RNAcentral lists this non-coding RNA (31 nucleotides) under Mus musculus (house mouse). The record is from RNAcentral. Lineage: Eukaryota; Metazoa; Chordata; Mammalia; Rodentia; Muridae.
UAGAGGAACUGGAUCCAGGACUUUUCUGCCU